AAUAGCCGAUUUCGUAUAGUUUAGAGGCAAGUUUUCCCAAAUUUCAAACUUUCAACUGGGUUUAACUUUCGUGGAGAGUAUUUGCAAUCCUCUGCAAGCGGCACGGCUAACUUCAUCGGGAAUUUAGUCUCACAUGGCAUUUAAAUAACAGCGUUCCCAUUUCCACUGGUCUUUACACCCGGUACUCAAAAAGUAUGUGUGUACUUUCCUUCUCUUUGAGUAGGAUAGAUCGGGAAUAAAGUCAAAUUGUCUAAGUCAAUUGUCUAAUUAAUAUUUAUAUAAUCAGCUUAGCAUUGAACUAGCAGAGAGAAAGAGAGAGAACAAUCCCCCUUUAAAGGCCAUUUUGCUCGUCAAGUUCUACAGGUGAUAGUUUUUUACCAUCGCCUGUUCACGCUUAGCUCGAAAAUUUCUUGAAAAAAAAUCCUGCACCUGGCCAUCGGCAUCGCUACAUGUCCCCUCUCUGAUAGGAAAGGGGUAGGUAGGUAGUUCCCUGUCUGGCCAAUACAUAUAUGUACUAUUUUUGUUUCUAAAAAGAAAGUCCGUAAACCUUCUGCUUCUUUAACGAUCAAUCAAUCUACAAUGCACAAAUUAUGUCAUCAGCAUCGGUAGGUUAGUUGGAAAAAUAAAGCGGUUUACUUUUCGAAAUUGUUGAACCUACUUUGUGAAGCAGCACGAUACAUGUUACAGUUCUCUUGGCGAUAUAUUGAAGAGCUUUUGAUAAAAAGACCUGUUGAUACGCCGUAAAUAUUUCAAUUCGGCAUAUGGCAUAUGUCAACUGCCUACAUUUUGACAACAAAAGUGUAUUUUUCGAUUGAAUCUAGAAGUCCUUACAAUUGUGCGUUGGGCAAGAUGUCGCAUAAAAAGCCCCAUAAAUUUCCGUGAUUCUUCAAGUACUCAAAUUUUCCCUUGAAGAAUCAAUUCGGAAUUGAUCUUUCGCUACGCAGAUUGCAGACAUAUUUUGGUUAUUGGUUAAGAUAAAGAAUGACUUGCUAUCUUACCCAAACGUACUUUCGCCAAGUAACAAAAUAUCCAUGACACAUGCCACAUGCCACCGAGCUAAACCCAAGCAAUUUCAAAAUCUUAAAAAUAAUUCAUUUUUGAAGCUAAUAACCCUCCUUGGAAAUUUGGCGCCCACCCACCUUGGCGCUUGUCCCGCGAUCACAUUGAGAGACCUUGCCUUGGCUUGGAUGUCCGAGAAGAACUAGCACAAUUCCGAAUACAGAAUAUAUCCAGAAUUGAGUAUACACAUGUAUUCAACAAUAGAUAUUGAAUGAUAUUACGGUACAGAGAUGUACUAGGCUAUGGGCUCUGAUAUUUGCGCUACAAACUUCUCCUCAGUUUUAUUAUAUCUCCUGCAAGGAGCUAUUAAAGAAAGCUAUUAAAAUCGUUGUUUCGCAUUCAUGUAUGGAAAUGUCCAUGGAAGGAUUCAGCGAGACCAGAAAACUCAAAUUCGAAUACUUUUGUCCCAAUAUUGUUUAAUAAAUCUGGUGGAACAAAACAAAUUCUGUCAAUAGACACAUCAUUUCACUGACUUCUAUGUUAAAACUAUUCAAAUCACCUAAAGUUAAAUUUGUUGGUAUUUUUCGGUAGUUUAUAGUUAUAUUAUAAGUGAUAACAGUGAAGGAAAACAUGACUAUAAAAUUACCGAAAAAGUUAACUUUCGCCUUUUGUGUAAAAGUUAAAAAAGUUGAAGUCAAAAAGGUUACAUCACAGUUAAUGAAAUUAUAUGCCAAUUCGUGAAGUUUUCAAUAAAUUUGGAUGAUAAUAUCGGGGCAAAAGUA
Drosophila pseudoobscura is the source of this 1781-nucleotide long non-coding RNA. RefSeq lists it as uncharacterized. The record is from RefSeq and is a predicted model, not a curated record. The transcript is spliced from 3 exons. Lineage: Eukaryota; Metazoa; Arthropoda; Insecta; Diptera; Drosophilidae.